CUCUGGUCCAGAGUUAGUGAGUUCUCUCACUUGAUUGUUCACAGGCAGUUACAGAUUGAAUUCCCAUCCUACUCUUUCCCUCUUCUUACUACUGCACUUGACUAGUUUA
This is an unclassified non-coding RNA of Otolemur garnettii (small-eared galago), 109 nucleotides long. It matches the Rfam family "Y RNA". Rfam says of the family: Y RNAs are components of the Ro ribonucleoprotein particle (Ro RNP), in association with Ro60 and La proteins. The Y RNAs and Ro60 and La proteins are well conserved, but the function of the Ro RNP is not known. Lineage: Eukaryota; Metazoa; Chordata; Mammalia; Primates; Galagidae. The record is from Ensembl.